RNAcentral lists this long non-coding RNA (1936 nucleotides) under Marmota monax (woodchuck). Lineage: Eukaryota; Metazoa; Chordata; Mammalia; Rodentia; Sciuridae. The record is from RNAcentral.
CUGAACCUCUGAAACUGUGAGCCCAAAAUGAACUUUUAAUCCACUAAGUUGUUCUUGUAAGGUAUUUUGGUCAUAGUGACGAAAGUCUGACUAAUACAGAAAUUGUACUGUAUAUAGACUUUCUCAGGGUGGCCUCAAUAGAAGCAGAGCAGGAAAAAUGCUCUCAAUGAGUAGAGCUUUAAGUGGUACAACUUUGGGAGGAAGGAAGAGCAGCUCAGAGACUAGAAUAUAUAUGCCCUCAGGAUCAGUGGUGAAUGGUUUGGUUGACUGUUUAUGGUCCUGGGAGGAGAAAGAUUGGAAUAUCAGAAACUAGAAGAUCCGGGUAGAUGCCUGUGAAUGGGUAUGUGGGAGAAGGAAAGAAGGGAGAAGAUUUUUUUUUUUUUUAAUGUUAAAGCCCACCAGACAGCAUCCACCAUAGAAGAGGCACUAAGCAAACAGGUAGACAAAGGGACUUGACCGGUUUUUAUCAGGGAACCUCUGUCAUCAGCUGCCCAGAUAGGCAUGAAUAAAGCAGCCUGGAUGGCAGGGAUGGAGACUGUGCAUGGGAAAGCCUGGAAAGUUGUUCUUCUUGUUCCCAGAACUCUAGAAUUUAUGUUUGAGCAAAUCUGGUUCCCGAAGUGGAACAUGAACACUUACUUCUUCCAGGGACAAAGAGUCCUAUUGAACUAUGACUACUACUUGCAUGCUUCAGUACUUUUGCUAAGGGAUCAGCAGGAAGAAGAGGAGUCACAUCUUGGCAGGGGUAAUUAUCCUGAUUAUUAGGAUGAAGUAAGCCUGCCGUCACACAAUGAGAGUAUCUAGGUGAUCCACAGGAUACCUCUUUGACUCCUCUUGCCCAAUUCUGGCCCCAAAAGAGCAUGGUGACAAGGUACUCAGACCCCUCAAGUAUGAGGAAAUGGGUCUUGCCAACAGGUAAGCCAGUGAGACCAACUGAUGUGGUAGCUGAAGGUGAGGGGAAUCUAAGAUGAGUUACAGAGAUAAAAUGAUGACUAUCAGUUGCAUCCUGGAGACAUCUACAGUGGAUAAGGACUACAGUUUAUCUCACUAACUUUCCUCUCAAGCGUUCUCUAGGAAUCCUGCAAAAGCUUCUCCCAGAGUUUAAACAAAGAGGUGGAUCUGAGCAGUGCAAGAGAUGAAAUGCGUUGGAUGUACUUCCCAGAUACUCCUUUAGAGCUGAAGGACAAAAUUCCUCUUGCUGGGAAAGCUCUUGGGAAGGUGGCUCUCAAUCAUCAGCCCAUUCAUGGAAUUGUCUUGACUGAGGAAACUUCUUGCUAAAGGUGCAAUAUUUCCAAUGACUGACCAGUGACGGGGUUUAAGGAUCUGGUCCCCUCAUCUCCAUUCAAGUCAACUCUGAAUCCCCUAGAUUCAUAGCACCCUAGGGGGUUGGCUGAGGACUUUGUUAGGAUGUAUGAUCGCUCACUAUCUCCCAAUCUUGCUUCCUUUCUCUUCCUUCAACAGGUGUUGAUCCUAAACCCUUGCCCUAGGAAAAAUCCUGUAUGCUAAUCUGUAUCUCAGAAAUAACUUCCAUGGGAAUACCAUCAAAAUGGAAUCAAGAUUGAAAGGUGUGGUGCUGACAGCCACCUGAUCUCUGAGGGAAGCUGUGGAUAGACUGCUGUUCAGACACGUCCUCCUCAAUUCACUGGGAAUGCCCUCCUUAGUGCACACUCUGCAAACUGAUGCCAAAGUAUUUUUUACUUUAUAGCAUGACUCACAAAAUACGUGUUGAUCAAAUGACAAUCAUUUUCACUUGGAGUGUGGGUUUUCAGUGAUAAACAAUUAGUAAACUAUAUCUAAGUGAAAAAGAGAAGGUAGACGUGUGGCACAUGCCUGUAAUCUCAGCUACUCAAGAAGCUGAGGAAGGAGGAUCACACGUUUGAGACAAUUUAGUAGGAGACCCUGUCUCAAAUAAAAUAAAAUAAAAUAGGGUGGGGGGAAU